Molecule: unclassified non-coding RNA, 274 nt
Filed under: Hevea brasiliensis (rubber tree)
Lineage: Eukaryota; Viridiplantae; Streptophyta; Magnoliopsida; Malpighiales; Euphorbiaceae
Source: RNAcentral
UUGUGCCUAGAACAAAGGCGCAUAGACACAUAAAGUGCUAGGGUUGGAGCCUGGUGAUCCUUGAGCCUUAGAGCCUUGAGCCUCAGGCGCGCCUUUAAUAACUAUGGGCUAGAUGUGGACAAAUUAGUACCUUUUCAGCAUUUGCAAUAUCACUCCAGUUCUGAUAUAAUUCUAUUUUGUGUUAUGAUCUUAUUUAGAUCAACUGCGUCAAAAUUUUCUUAUAUUGCAAUGGCUUUAUCCAUGUCUGUGCAUAUCUUUUGCAGGAAAGUGAAAG